GUUAAGUCGACCGCCUGGGGAGUACGGCCGCAAGGUUAAAACUCAAAUGAAUUGACGGGGGCCCGCACAAGCGGUGGAGCAUGUGGUUUAAUUCGAUGCAACGCGAAGAACCUUACCUGGUCUUGACAUCCACGGAAGUUUUCAGAGAUGAGAAUGUGCCUUCGGGAACCGUGAGACAGGUGCUGCAUGGCUGUCGUCAGCUCGUGUUGUGAAAUGUUGGGUUAAGUCCCGCAACGAGCGCAACCCUUAUCCUUUGUUGCCAGCGGUCCGGCCGGGAACUCAAAGGAGACUGCCAGUGAUAAACUGGAGGAAGGUGGGGAUGACGUCAAGUCAUCAUGGCCCUUACGACCAGGGCUACACACGUGCUACAAUGGCGCAUACAAAGAGAAGCGACCUCGCGAGAGCAAGCGGACCUCAUAAAGUGCGUCGUAGUCCGGAUUGGAGUCUGCAACUCGACUCCAUGAAGUCGGAAUCGCUAGUAAUCGUGGAUCAGAAUGCCACGGUGAAUACGUUCCCGGGCCUUGUACACACCGCCCGUCACACCAUGGGAGUGGGUUGCAAAAGAAGUAGGUAGCUUAACCUUCGGGAGGGCGCUUACCACUUUGUGAUUCAUGACUGGGGUGAAGUCGUAACAAGGUAACCGUAGGGGAACCUGCGGUUGGAUCACCUCCUU
This 673-nucleotide ribosomal RNA is filed under the name Escherichia coli. Its description in RNAcentral is "bacterial SSU rRNA". It matches the Rfam family "Bacterial small subunit ribosomal RNA", at positions 859 to 1532 of the family's 1533-position model. RNAcentral also lists the same sequence under 1 other name. The record is from RNAcentral. Lineage: Bacteria; Pseudomonadati; Pseudomonadota; Gammaproteobacteria; Enterobacterales; Enterobacteriaceae.